RNAcentral lists this ribosomal RNA (568 nucleotides) under uncultured bacterium. RNAcentral describes it as "bacterial SSU rRNA". It matches the Rfam family "Bacterial small subunit ribosomal RNA", at positions 8 to 573 of the family's 1533-position model. The record is from RNAcentral.
AGAGUUUGAUCCUGGCUCAGAUUGAACGCUGGCGGCAUGCCUUACACAUGCAAGUCGAACGGUAACGCGGGGCAACCUGGCGACGAGUGGCGAACGGGUGAGUAAUGCAUCGGAACGUGCCCAGUAGUGGGGGAUAGCCCGGCGAAAGCCGGAUUAAUACCGCAUACGACCUACGGGUGAAAGGGGGGGAUCGCAAGACCUCUCGCUAUUGGAGCGGCCGAUGUCAGAUUAGGUAGUUGGUGGGGUAAAGGCCUACCAAGCCGACGAUCUGUAGCUGGUCUGAGAGGACGACCAGCCACACUGGGACUGAGACACGGCCCAGACUCCUACGGGAGGCAGCAGUGGGGAAUUUUGGACAAUGGGCGCAAGCCUGAUCCAGCCAUGCCGCGUGCGGGAAGAAGGCCUUCGGGUUGUAAACCGCUUUUGUCAGGGAAGAAAUCCUUUGGGCUAAUACCCCGGGGGGAUGACGGUACCUGAAGAAUAAGCACCGGCUAACUACGUGCCAGCAGCCGCGGUAAUACGUAGGGUGCAAGCGUUAAUCGGAAUUACUGGGCGUAAAGCGUGCGCA